Molecule: long non-coding RNA, 533 nt
Organism: Neoarius graeffei (lesser salmon catfish)
Lineage: Eukaryota; Metazoa; Chordata; Actinopteri; Siluriformes; Ariidae
Exons: 2
Source: RefSeq, a predicted model, not a curated record
UGCGCUGCUGCACACACACACACCGUGUAUCCUGUGUGUAAAUGUUUUGCUGAGAUAAAAAGCGUCCCGCAUUUUACAAUUCCGGAGAUUGCUGAAGCAAGCAAGCAGCAAUAUCACAUGACCACCGUGGGGCAUGUCUGUUUGACCUACUUUUAACCAAAACAAGUAGGCAUGGGCGAACAUGGCGGAUUUGGCUCUCCCAUCAGCGGAAAAGAAAAGGAAAGCCUGCCUAGUGAGUGCAACUGCAAGAUAGAGCAAGGGCCGUACUGUUUACCUCAAGACGGAGGAAAACAUCCCAAAACGGAGAAACGCAACCCUCAGGACAUCAAAAUGAUCACAUCUAUUCUGCAUGAUAUUGUUCUUGCGAGACAGAGGAAAAUGCCACGCACAACAAAAAAUUUAAAAAUUUUAGAUGAUUUUGCAGUUAGCACCUUUUAAAUGUGAAAACAAAUAAUACAGAGAGAAACUAUUUAAAAUGAUACCAAGAUCGAGUUUAUAGGUUGAAAAAUAACAAAAACAGUGGUAAUUUGAAA